GAAAUGUUUGUUAUGGUUAUUUUGUUUUAUGCAAAAUUGUAAAUGAUUCAUUACAACUAUAGAUUAUGUAGUUUUACUGUGUCCAUGGUUAAUGAGGUCUCUUACUUCCUCAUUCCAUGGAAAGAAAUGGAAAUGCUGUGUGCAAUCGUGUAUCAUUGUUUUACGGUUAAUAAACGAGCCAACCAAACUUUGAGUAGCUUAAGCUUAGGCUUGGCUUGAGCUCAAUUCAAGCAUCAAUAUCAGAGCUCAAGCUUGGCUUGUCUUAAACUCCUUUAAAACAAGACUAGCUUGAGCUUAUCUUGUUCAAAUGUAAACGAGUCAAUUUCAAGCUCAGCUCAUUUAAUUGUAAAUGAGCUAAGCUCAUAGUUACCAGAUUUGCUCACGCCCCUUGGGUAUCGUGAUCUGGGUCACACUUUCCAAUUCUAGGAACAUUUGCAUACCUAUUCUCUAGGAGAUGCGAUCUGGGUCGCUAAAAUGGGAGUUUCGGCAAGCAACAAAGGGGGGAAAAAAGAAAAGGAGAAGAUGAAGUACACAACAGCCUUGCGUGAAAGAAAUUCUGCAGUUUUUACCAUUUUUGCUCUUGCCUUUCUACCAAAAUAUUAGUAAUUGUAAAUUGUCUAUGAAUAAUAAUUU
This 633-nucleotide unclassified non-coding RNA is filed under the name Hevea brasiliensis (rubber tree). The record is from RNAcentral. Lineage: Eukaryota; Viridiplantae; Streptophyta; Magnoliopsida; Malpighiales; Euphorbiaceae.